Molecule: unclassified non-coding RNA, 285 nt
Filed under: uncultured fungus
Lineage: Eukaryota; Fungi
Description: partial contains 5.8S ribosomal RNA, internal transcribed spacer 2, and large subunit ribosomal RNA
Rfam family: 5.8S ribosomal RNA (bases 1-52)
Source: RNAcentral
AACGCACAUUGCGCCCGCCAGUAUUCUGGCGGGCAUGCCUGUUCGAGCGUCAUUACAACCCUCAAGCCCCCCGGCUUGGUGUUGGGGACCGGCCACCGGUGCCCUGCUGCUUCCGCGGCAGGCGCGCCCGGCCGCCCCCGAAAUGAAUUGGCGGCCCCGUCGCGGCCUCCCUCUGCGUAGUAGCACACAUCUCGCAGCUGGAGCGCGGCGCGGCCACUGCCGUAAAACGCACCAACUUUUUUUACAGUUGACCUCGAAUCAGGUAGGAAUACCCGCUGAACUUAA